Molecule: ribosomal RNA, 438 nt
Filed under: uncultured bacterium
Lineage: Bacteria
Description: partial 16S ribosomal RNA
Rfam family: Bacterial small subunit ribosomal RNA
Source: RNAcentral
CUACGGGUCGCAGCAGUGGGGAAUAUUGCACAAUGGAGGAAACUCUGAUGCAGCAACGCCGCGUGGAGGAUGACACUUUUCGGAGCGUAACUCCUUUUAUAUAGGAAGAAGAUGACGGUACUAUAUGAAUAAGCGCCGGCUAACUCCGUGCCAGCAGCCGCGGUAAUACGGAGGGCGCAAGCGUUACUCGGAAUCACUGGGCGUAAAGAGCGUGUAGGCGGAUUAAAAAGUCAGAAGUGAAAUCCUAUAGCUUAACUAUAGAACUGCUUCUGAAACUCUUAAUCUAGAAUAUGGGAGAGGUAGAUGGAAUUUCUGGUGUAGGGGUAAAAUCCGUAGAGAUCAGAAGGAAUACCGAUUGCGAAGGCGAUCUACUAGAACAUUAUUGACGCUGAGACGCGAAAGCGUGGGGAGCAAACAGGAUUAGAUACCCCAGUAGUC